AUCUACGGCCAUACCACGCUGAACACGCCCGAUCUUGUCUGAUCUCUGAAGCUAAGCAGGGUCGGGCCUGCUUAGUACUUGGAUGGGAAAGAAAGACAGACACCUGCAGACC
RNAcentral lists this ribosomal RNA (112 nucleotides) under Erinaceus europaeus (western European hedgehog). Lineage: Eukaryota; Metazoa; Chordata; Mammalia; Eulipotyphla; Erinaceidae. The record is from RNAcentral.